UACGAAGGGGGCUAGCGUUGCUCGGAAUCACUGGGCGUAACGCGCACGUAGGCGGCUUGUUAAGUCAGGGGUGAAAUCCUGGAGCUCAACUCCAGAACUGCCUUUGAUACUGAGGAUCUUGAGUUCGGGAGAGGUGAGUGGAACUGCGAGUGUAGAGGUGAAAUUCGUAGAUAUUCGCAAGAACACCAGUGGCGAAGGCGGCUCACUGGCCCGGUACUGACGCUGAGGUGCGAAAGCGUGGGGAGCAAACAGG
This 253-nucleotide ribosomal RNA is filed under the name uncultured bacterium. RNAcentral describes it as "partial 16S ribosomal RNA". It matches the Rfam family "Bacterial small subunit ribosomal RNA", at positions 524 to 776 of the family's 1533-position model. The record is from RNAcentral.